UUCUUAACAUGCUCCAGUUGGUGAAUGCCU
RNAcentral lists this non-coding RNA (30 nucleotides) under Homo sapiens (human). The record is from RNAcentral. Lineage: Eukaryota; Metazoa; Chordata; Mammalia; Primates; Hominidae.